CACAGGUUUACCUGUGUGACUGCGUACCUUUUGUAUAAUGGGUCAGCGACUUAUAUUCUGUAGCAAGGUUAACCGAAUAGGGGAGCCGGAGGGAAACCGAGUCUUAAUUGGGCGUUAAGUUGCAGGGUAUAGACCCGAAACCCGGUGAUCUAGCCAUGGGCAGGUUGAAGGUUGGGUAACACUAACUGGAGGACCGAACCGACUAAUGUUGAAAAAUUAGCGGAUGACCUGUGGCUGGGGGUGAAAGGCCAAUCAAACCGGGAGAUAGCUGGUUCUCCCCGAAAGCUAUUUAGGUAGCGCCUCGUGAAUUCAUCUCCGGGGGUAGAGCACUGUUUCGGCUAGGGGGCCAUCCCGGCUUACCAACCCGAUGCAAACUGCGAAUACCGGAGAAUGUUAUCACGGGAGACACACGGCGGGUGCUAACGUCCGUCGUGAAGAGGGAAACAACCCAGACCGCCAGCUAAGGUCCCAAAGUCAUGGUUAAGUGGGAAACGAUGUGGGAAGGCCCAGACAGCCAGGAUGUUGGCUUAGAAGCAGCCAUCAUUUAAAGAAAGCGUAAUAGCUCACUGGUCGAGUCGGCCUGCGCGGAAGAUGUAACGGGGCUAAACCAUGCACCGAAGCUGCGGCAGCGACGCUUAUGCGUUGUUGGGUAGGGGAGCGUUCUGUAAGCCUGUGAAGGUGGCCUGUGAGGGUUGCUGGAGGUAUCAGAAGUGCGAAUGCUGACAUAAGUAACGAUAAAGCGGGUGAAAAGCCCGCUCGCCGGAAGACCAAGGGUUCCUGUCCAACGUUAAUCGGGGCAGGGUGAGUCGACCCCUAAGGCGAGGCCGAAAGGCGUAGUCGAUGGGAAACGGGUUAAUAUUCCCGUACUUGGUGUUACUGCGAAGGGGGGACGGAGAAGGCUAUGUUGGCCGGGCGACGGUUGUCCCGGUUUAAGCGUGUAGGUGUGUGUUCCAGGUAAAUCCGGUUCACUUUAACACUGAGGCGUGAUGACGAGGCACUACGGUGCUGAAGUAACAAAUGCCCUGCUUCCAGGAAAAGCCUCUAAGCAUCAGGUAACAUCAAAUCGUACCCCAAACCGACACAGGUGGUCAGGUAGAGAAUACCAAGGCGCUUGAGAGAACUCGGGUGAAGGAACUAGGCAAAAUGGUGCCGUAACUUCGGGAGAAGGCACGCUGACAC
This 1179-nucleotide ribosomal RNA is filed under the name Salmonella enterica. RNAcentral describes it as "partial 23S ribosomal RNA". It matches the Rfam family "Bacterial large subunit ribosomal RNA", at positions 578 to 1757 of the family's 2925-position model. Lineage: Bacteria; Pseudomonadati; Pseudomonadota; Gammaproteobacteria; Enterobacterales; Enterobacteriaceae. The record is from RNAcentral.